CCUACGGGACGCAGCAGUAGGGAAUAUUGCUCAAUGGGGGAAACCCUGAAGCAGCGACGCCGCGUGAGGGAUGAAGGUUUUCGGAUUGUAAACUCCUAUUGUUAGGGAAGAUAAUGACGGUAUCUAACGAAUAAGCACCGGCUAACUCCGUGCCAGCAGCCGCGGUAAUACGGAGGGUGCAAGCGUUACUCGGAUUCACUGGGCGUAAAGAGCGCGUAGGCGGGAUAGCAAGUCAGAUGUGAAAUCCUAUGGCUUAACCAUAGAACUGCAUUUGAAACUGUUAUGCUAGAGUAUGGGAGAGGUAGGUGGAAUUCUUGGUGUAGGGGUAAAAUGCGUAGAGAUCAAGAGGAAUACUCAUUGCGAAGGCGACCUGCUAGAACAUAACUGACGCUGAUGCGCGAAAGCGUGGGGAGCAAACAGGAUUAGAUACCCCAGUAGUC
Molecule: ribosomal RNA, 440 nt
Filed under: uncultured bacterium
Lineage: Bacteria
Description: partial 16S ribosomal RNA
Rfam family: Bacterial small subunit ribosomal RNA
Source: RNAcentral